This 219-nucleotide long non-coding RNA is filed under the name Linum usitatissimum (flax). RNAcentral describes it as "long non-coding RNA (LUSI_LNC003582)". Lineage: Eukaryota; Viridiplantae; Streptophyta; Magnoliopsida; Malpighiales; Linaceae. The record is from RNAcentral.
UUCUAGUCGAGCAAGGGAGCCAUCUUCCGAGCUUGUCUCGGAGCAUCCCACACUGAUAAACGUCGACUCACUGAUGGUUAAGGAGGCUCAAGAUUUAUUCCAGUACAAAAUGAAAGAAUUGUGGCAGAUUACCACUUCUUCCUCUACCAUCUCUCUAAUGAUGAGUGGUAGGUCUUCUCGAGGCGCUUAAGCAAACCUCCCUCCCGCACUGAUAAAAGC